Xiphophorus maculatus (southern platyfish) is the source of this 952-nucleotide long non-coding RNA. RefSeq lists it as uncharacterized. The record is from RefSeq and is a predicted model, not a curated record. The transcript is spliced from 2 exons. NCBI's taxonomy places the organism in Eukaryota, Metazoa, Chordata, Actinopteri, Cyprinodontiformes, Poeciliidae.
GGUGUUAUUUAACCAAAUGUUAUAUGAAGCCUGUGGAGAGUUUUGAAAUGCAAAACCUGCAUGCUUGCCCAGGAUAAAAAAAAGCUCAAGGGCUGAUAACAUAUAGACGGGGUGUCAACAUGUUCUGGGAAAACAAGUUUGAUCCACGAAGGUCCCAUCUUACAGCACUGAAAGGAUCUGCUGCAAACAUUUUGGUGCCAGAUACCACACCAGGUUUUUGUUCUGUAAUUGCAUUAAGGAUCUGCAGAGAAGUUCUUUUAGGCUGGAAAAUGAGGCCCAUAAGAGCUUAGUUCUUAUGUUAUGUCUAAUUUAGACAUGUUUUACUGUAGAGGCCUUUACAGAAGAUACACAAAACUAAUUCAGACUCAAUUUAACUAUUGUGAGAAAGAUAAUGUUACAUUCAUUUGAAGCAUGCAGAAUGCAAUUUCAUUUUACAAGGUGUCUUCUGUUGUUUUUUUUUAGAAUGUAAAUUUCUUUCCUGCAGAAAAGUGCAAUACAAAUAAUCUGCCAUGCCUUGCCUUUUGAGUAGCAGAAUAAAUAAACUCCAUUAAUAAAGUCAAGACAGACCUUUUGUUGUUGAGUUUAGGUAAUGUUCCUUUUAUCCUUUGUUUGCUAUAAGGCUUUGUAUUCCUUUAUGCAUGAGCUUUGAUUCGAUCUAAAGGAAACAAUUUACACUUAAUAUCAGAUAUUGAGCAUUUUUGUAAGAAGUAGGGAUUCUAUGGCUGAUGACAUUUGAUUAAAUGUAUUGCCGGAGAUUCUUCAAUCAAAACAUAUCUGAAUGUUUUAAACCAUGUUUAAUGAACUUUGUGUUAAAUCAAGGCUGGCUCUGACAAAAUAUACUGUCCUGCAUAUAAAUGUAUUCAAAAUUUACUUCUUGAAAAUGUUCAAGUUUAGAUAUGGUGUAACCUCAAAUUUUAUGGUAUUUUUAUUUUACAGGUAAAGAUCUACAAAA